AGUACAGCUUUGUGGGAAAAGGACUCAAAUCAACUUUUGCAUCAUUUCUACAGCCAGAACCAGCUGCAUUUGGAACUAACUGCCUCUCAUUUGUUUACAAGAUGUUGAGAUUAUCCUGGAUUAUUUGAGUGGGCCCUAAGUGCAACCUAUGUAUCCUCAUAAGAAGGAGAUCUGACACAGAAGAAGAGGAGAAGGCAACAGGACCAAAGAGGCAGAGGCAGAGAUUUGAAGGAUGUGACCAUAAGGCUAAGAGUGUUGGCUGCUACCAAAGCUGCGCGAGACCAAAUUUGCUCUCUUUGGAUUAUAAUUUCAAGAUCCUGCUUGAUCAGAUGUCUGUCAGGUCUAAUCUGCUAUGGACGGAAGGAAAAGUGUACAGUGCAAACAUGGCUCCCAGG
This 395-nucleotide long non-coding RNA is filed under the name Heterocephalus glaber (naked mole-rat). Its description in RNAcentral is "lncRNA (ENSHGLG00100042953.1)". The record is from RNAcentral. Lineage: Eukaryota; Metazoa; Chordata; Mammalia; Rodentia; Bathyergidae.